CGUAUUUACAGAUUCCUCCUGAAAGACAUGGGUAGUGAGAUGUUCUCACGCAAUCGCGUCUCACUAUCUUGUCUUUCAUGCGGCGUCUGUUUGCC
This 95-nucleotide microRNA precursor is filed under the name Dinoponera quadriceps. RNAcentral describes it as "microRNA dqu-mir-71 precursor". Its record names the gene dqu-mir-71. The stretch from base 14 to 85 matches the Rfam family "mir-71 microRNA precursor family". Lineage: Eukaryota; Metazoa; Arthropoda; Insecta; Hymenoptera; Formicidae. The record is from miRBase by way of RNAcentral.